RNAcentral lists this ribosomal RNA (497 nucleotides) under uncultured bacterium. Its description in RNAcentral is "partial 16S ribosomal RNA". It matches the Rfam family "Bacterial small subunit ribosomal RNA", at positions 28 to 507 of the family's 1533-position model. The record is from RNAcentral.
GAUGAACGCUGGCGGCGUGCCUAAUACAUGCAAGUCGAGCGAACAGACGAGGAGCUUGCUCCUCUGAUGUUAGCGGCGGACGGGUGAGUAACACGUGGAUAACCUACCUAUAAGACUGGGAUAACUUCGGGAAACCGGAGCUAAUACCGGAUAACAUGUUGAACCGCAUGGUUCAACAGUGAAAGACGGUCUUGCUGUCACUUAUAGAUGGAUCCGCGCCGCAUUAGCUAGUUGGUAAGGUAACGGCUUACCAAGGCAACGAUGCGUAGCCGACCUGAGAGGGUGAUCGGCCACACUGGAACUGAGACACGGUCCAGACUCCUACGGGGGGCAGCAGUAGGGAAUCUUCCGCAAUGGGCGAAAGCCUGACGGAGCAACGCCGCGUGAGUGAAGAAGGUCUUCGGAUCGGAAAACUCUGUUAUUAGGGAAGAACAAAUGUGUAAGUAACUAUGCACAUCUUGACGGUACCGAAUCAGAAAGCCACGGCUAACUACGUG